This 387-nucleotide ribosomal RNA is filed under the name Triticum aestivum (bread wheat). Its description in RNAcentral is "partial small subunit ribosomal RNA". The record is from RNAcentral. Lineage: Eukaryota; Viridiplantae; Streptophyta; Magnoliopsida; Poales; Poaceae.
AUGCUUUAUAAAAGCUGUCGACGUGCGACCGAAUGUCGGCCGGGCACUGGAGGAGGUUAUCACCGUCUCACAGGAGAAGGAUGGUGUUACAACGUCUCCGGCCGUUGGCUGGAAAUAUGCCGUAUUGGCGUCCCCCUGGAGGACCCAUCUUUGGGUACCACGCAUGCGCCAAUAAGCCUCCUCAUCGGUGUAGAUUACCAUGAGCUGGUCUUCAAGAUCAUAUUGGAGCAACCACUCGUCAGGAGACAGGCCCGAAGUGUCAGCUCGGAGGUCCAACUCCUGGAUGGAGGAGAGGAGGGCUUUCUUGCGAUCCCGCAGGUUCCGACCGAGGUUUCCACCCCACCCCUUCAUAAACUAGCGAGCCCGUUUGGCGUAGAAAUGCCAUGA